AGAAUCAACGCUGGCGGCGUGCCUCAGACAUGCAAGUCGAACGCGAAAGUUCCCUUCGGGGGGCGAGUAGAGUGGCGCACGGGUGAGUAACACGUAGGUAAUCUACCUUCGGAUGGGGAAUAACAACCGGAAACGGUUGCUAAUACCGCAUAGUGCAGCGGCACCUAAUGGUGACAGUUGUUAAAGCGGGGGAUCGAAGGACCUCGCGUCUGAAGAGGAGCCUGCGGCGGAUUAGCUAGUUGGUAAGGUAAUGGCUUACCAAGGCUACGAUCCGUAACGGCCUGAGAGGGCGGUCGGUCACACUGACACUGACAUACGGGUCAGACUCCUACGGGAGCAGCAGUCGGAAUUUUGGGCAAGUGGGCGAAAGCCUGACCCAGCAACGCCGACGUCGAAGGAUAGGAAAUUCCCUACGGGGAUCGGUAAAACUUCGACGAAAGAAACGGGAAGAAAGUAAGGUAAGGGAACAACGUAACCCCCCUAUAGAU
RNAcentral lists this ribosomal RNA (488 nucleotides) under uncultured soil bacterium. RNAcentral describes it as "bacterial SSU rRNA". The stretch from base 15 to 388 matches the Rfam family "Bacterial small subunit ribosomal RNA", at positions 40 to 399 of the family's 1533-position model. The record is from RNAcentral.